UGGCGGACGGGUGAGUAACGCGUGGGGUAACCUGCCUCACACAGGGGGAUAACAGUUGGAAACGACCGCUAAUACCGCAUAACCCGCUGGUAUCGCAUGAUACUGACGGAAAAGAUUUAUCGGUGUGAGAUGGACCCGCGUCUGAUUAGCCAGUUGGCAGGGUAACGGCCUACCAAAGCGACGAUCAGUAGCCGGCCUGAGAGGGUGAACGGCCACAUUGGGACUGAGACACGGCCCAAACUCCUACGGAAGGCAGCAG
This 259-nucleotide ribosomal RNA is filed under the name uncultured bacterium. RNAcentral's name for it is "partial 16S ribosomal RNA". It matches the Rfam family "Bacterial small subunit ribosomal RNA", at positions 96 to 354 of the family's 1533-position model. The record is from RNAcentral.